UAAAGAAUAACAGUGCAGUCCUCCUUUGGCAGAAAAACCGGGCAGUUGCUGGUUGUUCUUACUUUCUGCCAAAGGAGAAUUGCCCUGCCAUUCACCC
This is a microRNA precursor of Macleaya cordata, 97 nucleotides long. It matches the Rfam family "mir-399 microRNA precursor family". Rfam says of the family: mir-399 was identified in both Arabidopsis thaliana and Oryza sativa computationally and was later experimentally verified. mir-399 is thought to target mRNAs coding for a phosphatase transporter. The record is from Rfam. Lineage: Eukaryota; Viridiplantae; Streptophyta; Magnoliopsida; Ranunculales; Papaveraceae.